Molecule: unclassified non-coding RNA, 230 nt
Filed under: plant metagenome
Description: partial contains small subunit ribosomal RNA, internal transcribed spacer 1, and 5.8S ribosomal RNA
Source: RNAcentral
UCUCCGUAGGUGAACCUGCGGAGGGAUCAUUACAGAGUUCUCGCCCUCACGGGUAGAUCUCCCACCCACUGUUAUCGUUACUGUCGUUUCUUUGGCGGGCCGCCGGGUCCCCGGCCGCCGGCGCCUAGCUGCCGGCGCGCCACCGCCAGAGGCCUUCAAACUCUGAAUGUUAGUGUCGUCUGAGUACUAUAUAAUAGUUAAAACUUUCAACAACGGAUCUCUUGGUUCUG